Molecule: unclassified non-coding RNA, 301 nt
Filed under: fungal sp.
Lineage: Eukaryota; Fungi
Description: partial internal transcribed spacer region
Rfam family: Eukaryotic small subunit ribosomal RNA (bases 1-46)
Source: RNAcentral
AAGUCGUAACAAGGUUUCCGUAGGUGAACCUGCGGAAGGAUCAUUAUUGAACAAUCAAACCAAUGUAGACUGUGUUGUAGCUGGCUUUCGGGCAUGUGCACGCCAGUUUACAAUUGUUCUCCAUCCACCUGUGCACUUUAUGUAGGCUCACAGUCGUUCUUCACCUGAAAAUGGUGGCUUUGAAAGCAUUAUUGUUUUCAAGCGAAUGUGGUCUAUGUUUUAUACACUCGAUGAAUGUCUUAGAAUGUCAUGUUAUAUUCAAAUACAAAUAUAACUUUCAGCAACGGAUCUCUUGGCUCUC